Molecule: ribosomal RNA, 253 nt
Filed under: uncultured bacterium
Lineage: Bacteria
Description: partial 16S ribosomal RNA
Rfam family: Bacterial small subunit ribosomal RNA
Source: RNAcentral
UACGUAGGGUGCAAGCGUUGUCCGGAAUUAUUGGGCGUAAAGAGCUCGUAGGCGGUCUGUCGCGUCGGAUGUGAAAAUCCAGGGCUCAACCCUGGACCUGCAUUCGAUACGGGCAGACUAGAGUUCGGUAGGGGAGACUGGAAUUCCUGGUGUAGCGGUGAAAUGCGCAGAUAUCAGGAGGAACACCGAUGGCGAAGGCAGCUCGCUGGGACGGUACUGACGCUGAGGCGCGAAAGCGUGGGGAGCGAACAGG